This 502-nucleotide ribosomal RNA is filed under the name uncultured bacterium. RNAcentral's name for it is "partial 16S ribosomal RNA". It matches the Rfam family "Bacterial small subunit ribosomal RNA", at positions 29 to 523 of the family's 1533-position model. The record is from RNAcentral.
AUUGAACGCUGGCGGCAUGCCUUACACAUACAAGUCGAACGGCAGCACGGGUGCUUGCACCUGGUGGCGAGUGGCGAACGGGUGAGUAAUACAUCGGAACGUACCUUAUCGUGGGGGAUAACGCAGCGAAAGCUGUGCUAAUACCGCAUACGCCCUGAGGGGGAAAGCGGGGGAUCGCAAGACCCCGCGCGAUUAGAGCGGCCGAUGCCUGAUUAGCUUGUUGGUGGGGUAAAAGCCCACCAAGGCGACGAUCAGUAGCUGGUCUGAGAGGGUGUACGGCCACACUGGAACUUAGACACGGUCCAGACUCCUACGGGAGGCAGCAGUGAGGAAUAUUGCUCAAUGGGCGAAAGCCUGAAGCAGCGACGCCGCGUGGAGGAUGAAGGCCUUCGGGUUGUAAACUUCUGUUAAGUGGGAAGAAAGACGUCCGAGUAAUAUGCGGACGGGAUGACGGUACCACUAGAGAAAGCACUGGCUAAUCUCGUGCCAGCAGCCGCGGUAA